UUAAUUAAAAUACCCUUUUCUUUUGUUCACUUGUUUCUUCAUGAUUUUUAGUAUUCUCCCCAUUGGUAGAAUAUGCCCAAGAAAUCCUUUCUUUUUUUUUUGUAGUUGACAAGGGAUUUUGUCAAUCUUGAGUUUUUAUUUUAUUUUUUGUCAGCAAAGUUCAAGAUUUUUGAGACCAUUACUAAUUUUGGGGAUUUAGUUGGUUUCAUUGGACAAAGCUGUCUGGAAGUUAGUUUAAAGACAAGAAAAAGGCUUUGUUUUUGUAGUGUGUGUGAAAGAAUGGAGCUGAAAUUGGUUGAUUCCAAGUCAUUGUUUUUGUGUAAUUUUGAGCUGAUGAAAUCAAGUUCAUUUCUUGACACAAAGCUAAGGUUUGGUCUCACUGGGACUCAUAAGUUAUGUUCUUGCAGAGGUGUUGUACUCAAGGCUUCUCGUUCAAGUGCUUCUUAUGAUGCUGCAAGUUCAGUUAGCAAAGAAAAUUUUAUACUCGACGAAUUUUCCUGUAAGAUAAAUGGUAAAAAUUGUUCAGGACUGUAUCUUAGAGAUGUAAGAGUGCUUGAUGCUUCUGAUGAUGAAUAUGGAGGAAUACUCAUUAAUCCACAAACACUACCGUCCAAUCCCAAUAUAUUUGCAUCUGUACUUCGUGAAUCGCUGUCUCACUGGAAAAUGAAGGGGAAGAAGGGAGUUUGGCUUAAACUACCAGUUGAGAAAUGUGAUCUAGUUCCAAUUGCAGUAAAGGAAGGAUUUCAAUACCAUCAUGCGGAAAGAGGAUAUCUCAUGAUGACAUAUUGGCUUCCCGAUGAUCCCUGCAUGCUUCCUUCUAAUGCAUCUCAUCAAGUUGGAGUUGGGGGUUUUGUGAUCAACGACAAAAAUGAGGUGCUUGUCGUACAAGAGAAACAUUCUGCACCAGAUCUUUCAGGCCUAUGGAAAAUACCAACUGGUUUCAUUCUUGAGUCGGAGGAGAUCUUUACAGGAAUCGUGAGAGAAGUGAAGGAGGAAACUGGGAUUGAUACUGAAUUUGUGGAGGUUAUGGCUUUCAGUUCUGCUUCAGGCAUGCUCACAAUGUUGCUUUUGAGAAGUCAGAUUUAUUCUUCGUCUGCCUUUUAAGACCCCUUUCAACAAGAAUCGCGGUUGAUGAUCUAGAAAUUCAGGCAGCCAAGUGGAUGCCUCUAGUCAAAUUCGUCGAGCAGCCACUAAUUCAAGCAGAUAGCAUGUUCAAAAAAGUCAUAGACAUCUGCAUUGCUCGGCUGGGAAAGCGAUACUGUGGAUUAUCUGUCCAUCAACUAGUCUCUACAUUUGAUGGUAAACUAUCCUCCUUGUACUUCAACACAGUUGAAGAUUCAGAUUCGAACUGUAAAGCCAACUAGCGCCAUAAUCAGAAUUUGCAUUGCAAUUUAGCUCUCGAUAUCCUUUUCGAUGGAGAUGAAACGAGUUAAACACAAUAUUACACCAACUGAUCAUCAAUUACCUGUAUUAGAAAGAACAAGAAAAAAGUCAGGGAGUUUAUAUAUAGUGUAUAUAUCUUCUGCUGAGGACAUGGGACAUUGUAUAUAUGUAACAUCUAUAUUUCUUAUCUUAUGACUAAUUUAGCUUCUAAGUGUUUUUCUGCCA
Solanum lycopersicum (tomato) is the source of this 1608-nucleotide non-coding RNA. The record is from RefSeq and is a predicted model, not a curated record. Lineage: Eukaryota; Viridiplantae; Streptophyta; Magnoliopsida; Solanales; Solanaceae.